Molecule: non-coding RNA, 61 nt
Filed under: unclassified sequences
Source: RNAcentral
UGUCGACUGACCUAGCAGACGCUCGUAGAGACGACAUGAUAAAAACUACGAGGUAAGAAUG